RNAcentral lists this ribosomal RNA (498 nucleotides) under uncultured bacterium. Its description in RNAcentral is "partial 16S ribosomal RNA". It matches the Rfam family "Bacterial small subunit ribosomal RNA", at positions 29 to 523 of the family's 1533-position model. The record is from RNAcentral.
AUUGAACGCUGGCGGAAUGCUUUACACAUGCAAGUCGAGCGGCAGCGCGGGGCAACCUGGCGGCGAGCGGCGAACGGGUGAGUAAUACAUCGGAACGUACCCUGUCGUGGGGGAUAACGAGUCGAAAGAUUCCCUAAUACCGCAUACGACCUGAGGGUGAAAGCGGGGGAUCGCAAGACCUCGCGCGAUAGGAGCGGCCGAUGGCGGAUUAGCUAGUUGGUGAGGUAAAGGCUCACCAAGGCGACGAUCCGUAGCGGGUCUGAGAGGACGACCCGCCACACUGGAAGUGAGACCCGGUCCAGACUCCUACGGGGGGCAGCAGUGGGGAAUUUUGGACAAUGGGGGCAACCCUGAUCCAGCCAUUCCGCGUGAGUGAAGAAGGCCUUCGGGUUGUAAAGCUCUUUCGGCAGGAACGAAACGGUCCUUUCUAAUACAGAGGGCUAAUGACGGUACCUGAAGAAGAAGCACCGGCUAACUACGUGCCAGCCGCCGCCGUAA